This is a long non-coding RNA of Colius striatus (speckled mousebird), 695 nucleotides long. RefSeq lists it as uncharacterized. NCBI's taxonomy places the organism in Eukaryota, Metazoa, Chordata, Aves, Coliiformes, Coliidae. The record is from RefSeq and is a predicted model, not a curated record. The transcript has 3 exons.
AAGUACACACAUACUCUGCGUUUCUCUGAUGCCCAGAACCUUGCUGUGUUGGAGCACCUAUACUUCCCUGGAUGAACGAGAAGAAAGGAAAUAUUAUUUCAGAGUUUGUAUCAACCACACAAGAGUGUUAAACAAAAUACUUCAGCAGUCUCUAAGAUCUAUGUUUUUGAGAUGAGCUGGUUUUCCUGUGAUAACCCAGAUGCAGAGAAUGUAUGCAUGUGUAAACAUGCACACGGACACAUGGAGAGUCACUUCUGGAUCCUAGGUCAAGCAAAGCCAAUGAGAAGGAGGAGCAGUUGCUUUUAGGGAUGGCGUUCCCUGAGGGAUAUGGACAGCACUGAAAUGACCUGACCAUUGCUGAUAACGUGCCUGCAGCUUGAGAACAUUUGUAAUGGCUUCAUCUGAAAAGCAGAGGGAAGGAGUCCCUGAUGAGCUCAGAUUUUUCUGACAAGUUCUGAGAAGCAUCUGAAGCUUUCCCGGACAUCUGAACUGCACGUAGGUCUGGUCUUGCUCUGGGAGUGUGUCAUUCACAUGGUAAAACUUCUACUCGGUGUUUAUGGGUUUGUUGGCCAGGCUGCUUGAUGUAUAUAGCUCCAGAGGACAAGGUACUGUGACAGCCACUGGAACUGAGUGAGGGGCCAAGGGUUUAUGGAAAUUCUGGUAGAAAUCUGUUCACUGUGUGUUCUCCUGCCUUG